RNAcentral lists this ribosomal RNA (897 nucleotides) under Staphylococcus aureus. RNAcentral's name for it is "bacterial SSU rRNA". It matches the Rfam family "Bacterial small subunit ribosomal RNA", at positions 89 to 972 of the family's 1533-position model. The record is from RNAcentral. Lineage: Bacteria; Bacillati; Bacillota; Bacilli; Caryophanales; Staphylococcaceae.
AUGUUAGCGGCGGACGGGUGAGUAACACGUGGAUAACCUACCUAUAAGACUGGGAUAACUUCGGGAAACCGGAGCUAAUACCGGAUAAUAUUUUGAACCGCAUGGUUCAAAAGUGAAAGACGGUCUUGCUGUCACUUAUAGAUGGAUCCGCGCUGCAUUAGCUAGUUGGUAAGGUAACGGCUUACCAAGGCAACGAUGCAUAGCCGACCUGAGAGGGUGAUCGGCCACACUGGAACUGAGACACGGUCCAGACUCCUACGGGAGGCAGCAGUAGGGAAUCUUCCGCAAUGGGCGAAAGCCUGACGGAGCAACGCCGCGUGAGUGAUGAAGGUCUUCGGAUCGUAAAACUCUGUUAUUAGGGAAGAACAUAUGUGUAAGUAACUGUGCACAUCUUGACGGUACCUAAUCAGAAAGCCACGGCUAACUACGUGCCAGCAGCCGCGGUAAUACGUAGGUGGCAAGCGUUAUCCGGAAUUAUUGGGCGUAAAGCGCGCGUAGGCGGUUUUUUAAGUCUGAUGUGAAAGCCCACGGCUCAACCGUGGAGGGUCAUUGGAAACUGGAAAACUUGAGUGCAGAAGAGGAAAGUGGAAUUCCAUGUGUAGCGGUGAAAUGCGCAGAGAUAUGGAGGAACACCAGUGGCGAAGGCGACUUUCUGGUCUGUAACUGACGCUGAUGUGCGAAAGCGUGGGGAUCAAACAGGAUUAGAUACCCUGGUAGUCCACGCCGUAAACGAUGAGUGCUAAGUGUUAGGGGGUUUCCGCCCCUUAGUGCUGCAGCUAACGCAUUAAGCACUCCGCCUGGGGAGUACGACCGCAAGGUUGAAACUCAAAGGAAUUGACGGGGACCCGCACAAGCGGUGGAGCAUGUGGUUUAAUUCGAAGCAACGCGAAGAACCUU